Molecule: ribosomal RNA, 778 nt
Rfam family: Eukaryotic large subunit ribosomal RNA
GGGAACAGCUCAAAUUUGAAAUCUGGCCCUUGGGUCCGAGUUGUAAUUUGCAGAGGAUGCUUUUGGUGCGGUGCCUUCCGAGUUCCCUGGAACGGGACGCCUUAGAGGGUGAGAGCCCCGUACGGUUGGCCACCAAGCCUGUGUAAAGCUCCUUCGACGAGUCGAGUAGUUUGGGAAUGCUGCUCAAAAUGGGAGGUAUAUUUCUUCUAAAGCUAAAUACUGGCCAGAGACCGAUAGCGCACAAGUAGAGUGAUCGAAAGAUGAAAAGCACUUUGAAAAGAGGGUUAAAUAGCACGUGAAAUUGUUGAAAGGGAAGGAUUUAUGACCAGACUUUUUCUAGGGGGAUCAUCCGGUGUUCUCACCGGUGCACUUCCCCUAGUUGAGGCCAGCAUCGGUUUCUGUCGGGGGAUAAAAGCUUCAGGAAUGUGGCUCCUUCGGGAGUGUUAUAGCCUGUUGCAUAAUACCCUGACGGGGACCGAGGUUCGCGCAUUGCAAGGAUGCUGGCGUAAUGGUUAUUAAUCACCCGUCUUGAAACACGGACCAAGGAGUCGAACAUUUGUGCGAGUGUUUGGGUGUUAAACCCUCACGCGUAAUGAAAGUGAACGGAGGUGAGAGCCCUUCGGGGUGCAUCAUCGACCGAUCCUGAUGUCUUCGGAUGGAUUUGAGUAAGAGCAUAACUGUUCGGACCCGAAAGAUGGUGAACUAUGCGUGGAUAGGGUGAAGCCAGAGGAAACUCUGGUGGAGGCUCGCAGCGGUUCUGACGUGCAAAUCGAUCGUC